AGCUUCCUCAAACAAUCCCCUUGUCACGCUUAACAUAGGAACCUACAAACGUCGGAUGAGUCUUGGGAGUCCUUGGCCGUCCUUUCGCAGGAAUUGGAGCUGCGUGGCGUUGGCAAAACUUGGCAUGCAAGAUCAGCAUCACUCCGAUCAUUUGCUGACGUCCCUAGUAGAAAACCAAGUUCGGCUUUGUAUUCUUCUACUGUCAUCAGUGAU
Molecule: long non-coding RNA, 213 nt
Filed under: Oryza brachyantha (malo sina)
Lineage: Eukaryota; Viridiplantae; Streptophyta; Magnoliopsida; Poales; Poaceae
Description: long non-coding RNA (OBRA_LNC003228)
Source: RNAcentral